GGUGUGUGCAGUAGUUGGAGGCUCAUUUAUGAUGCUGUCCCCAGGGCCCAUGCCACAGGUGCUCGCCUACCUUAGGUGAAACAUGAGGAUAAGAAGGGGAAUAACUGUGUCCUGAAUUUGGAAGUGGAAAUGACUGUAAGGAUCUAUUCCUUUUAAUCUGAUGGCAAGGAAGUGCUGCUACCCUUUCAGUUCUCCCAGAUUCGGCUUAAAAGGAUUGUUCAGAAUAAUUCUUUUCUAAUGCUGUUAUAAACUGUACUCAGCCUUACAAGAGUUCAAGAUUAUAGGCUCUGGUGUGUGAUUAGAAAUUAUAUUAAUAAGAGAAGGAAGACAGACUAGUCAAGGACCAGCCCUCUUGUUUGUAUCAGAUGUAUAUCUGAUUUUAAACCAAGAAAAUGGCUCCAAAAAUGAUCAACUGGACAACUAAAAAAUUGGACAAUUUAAACUGUUUGAAGGAAUUCCUGCUUUCCCCCUCUCUUUUAACAAAUGAAACCUGAAAUCUUGUAAAAGAAUAAGACAAGCUUUUUUCCUUUUUUUGGUGGGAGGUUCUGCAGCACUUCAGUCUUUAACUGAACAUUAUGCUUACUUGAUAUUUGUGCCCAGUGGAAAUAAGAGUUGGCUUGUGGUGUUACCAGUACAAAAGUAAUUACUUCUCGGAUCAACUGCAAAUAUGUGCAGGUUGUAGAUGGGGGAGCCAUGAAUGAAAGAGAGAGGCGAUUGUACUGUGGAGGACUGCAGAAGACAAGGAUUAAUGGCGAGUAGAAUAGUAUUUUGGUGUUCUUUCAGUAACGUUACAAUCUCUCUGAAAGUGAAUGCUGCUAACA
This is a long non-coding RNA of Bos taurus (domestic cattle), 821 nucleotides long. The record is from Ensembl. NCBI's taxonomy places the organism in Eukaryota, Metazoa, Chordata, Mammalia, Artiodactyla, Bovidae.